AAAGCUCGUAGUCGGAUUUUGGGCGCGUGUGAACUGUCAGCCUCUGGUUGGACGGUGCGCGCGUGCCUUUCUGCUUGGGAGCCCCAUGGUGGUUAAUUCUGUCGUGGUGGGUCACAGGCCGUUUACUUUGAAAAAAUUAGAGUGUUCAAAGCAGGCUGUUGCUUGAAUAGAUUAGCAUGGAAUAAUGGAAUAGGACCUUGGUGCUAUUUCGUUGGUUAUGGGACUGGGGUAAUGAUUAAUAGGGACAGUUGGGGCCGUUCAUAUUUCGUUGUCAGAGGUGAAAUUCUUGGAUUUACGAACGAUGAACUUGUGCGAAAGCAUUCGGCAAGGAUGUUUUCAUUGAUCAAGAACGAAAGUUAGGGGAUCGAAGACGAUCAGAUACCGUCGUAGUCUUAACCAUAAACUAUGCCAACUAGGGAUCAUUGAGUGUCAAUUUACGACCUCAUUGGCACCUUGUGAGAAAUCAAAGUUUUUGGGUUCCGGGGGGAGUAUGGUCGCAAGGCUGAAACUUAAAGGAAUUGACGGAAGGGCACCACCAGGAGUGGAGCCUGCGGCUUAAUUUGACCUCAAACACAGGGGAAACUUACCAGGUCCAGACAUAGUCAGGGAUGGGACAGAUUUGAAAAGCUCUUUCUUUGAUUCUAUGGGGUGGGUGGGUGCAUGGCCGUUCUUUAGUUGGUGGAGUGAUUUUGUCUGGUUAAUUCCCGUUAACGAACGAGAACCUCAGCCUGCUAACUAGCGAUGCCCAUUUUUAAUGGGUAGCCCCGCUUCUUAGAGGGACUAUUCGUGUUCAACGAAUGGAAGUUUGAGGCAAUAACAGGUCUGUGAUGCCCUUAGAUGUUCUGGGCCGCACGCGCGCUACACUGAUGGAUGCAACGAGCUCUACCCUUGACCGAAAGGCCCGGGUAAACUUGUCAAAUCCAUCGUGAUGGGGA
This 935-nucleotide ribosomal RNA is filed under the name uncultured Cryptophyta. RNAcentral describes it as "SSU rRNA". It matches the Rfam family "Eukaryotic small subunit ribosomal RNA", at positions 623 to 1576 of the family's 1831-position model. Lineage: Eukaryota; Cryptophyceae. The record is from RNAcentral.